RNAcentral lists this ribosomal RNA (504 nucleotides) under uncultured bacterium. RNAcentral describes it as "partial 16S ribosomal RNA". It matches the Rfam family "Bacterial small subunit ribosomal RNA", at positions 30 to 523 of the family's 1533-position model. The record is from RNAcentral.
AUUGAACGCUGGCGGCAUGCCUUACACAUGCAAGUCGAACGGCAGCAUGGAGAGCUUGCUCUCUGAUGGCGAGUGGCGAACGGGUGAGUAAUGCAUCGGAACGUACCGUGUAAUGGGGGAUAACGUAGCGAAAGUUACGCUAAUACCGCAUACGACCUGAGGGUGAAAGCAGGGGAUCGCAAGACCUUGCGUUAUACGAGCGGCCGAUGUCAGAUUAGCUAGUUGGUGAGGUAAAGGCUCACCAAGGCGACGAUCUGUAGCGGGUCUGAGAGGAUGAGCAGCGACACUGGGACUGAGACAAGGUCCAGGCUCCUACGGGAGGCAGCAGUGGGGAAUUUUGGACAAUGGGGGCAACCCUGAUCCAGCCAUGCAGCGUGAGUGAAGAAGGCCUUCGGGUUGUAAAGCUCUUUCGGCCGGGAAGAAAUCGCACAGGCUAAUACUCUGUGUGGAUGACGGUACCGGCAUAAGAAGCACCGGCUAACUACGUGCCAGCCGCCGCGGUAA